CCUACGGGGGGCGGCAGUUGGGAAUCUUGCGCAAUGGGGGCAACCCUGACGCAGCGACGCCGCGUGCGGGAUGACGGUCUUCGGAUUGUAAACCGCUUUUCUCGAGGACGAUAAUGACGGUACUCGGGGAAGAAGCCCCGGCUAACUCCGUGCCAGCAGCCCCGGUC
This 167-nucleotide ribosomal RNA is filed under the name uncultured bacterium. Its description in RNAcentral is "partial 16S rRNA". It matches the Rfam family "Bacterial small subunit ribosomal RNA", at positions 338 to 522 of the family's 1533-position model. The record is from RNAcentral.